UCCUCGUCGUCCAGGCACCAUUCGGGGAGCCCAUCCUUGUCCUCCUCAAAGCCGUCAGGCCCUCGGCACCUCCGCAGGCGCGGAACCCCUCCACACGACACCAGAACCCGCCACAGGGCUUCUCUGCUCUGCCAUGAUGCUGCCAGCACCUGUCAUCCCAACUCUGGCUACGCUGGAUCUCCCGGGGGUUUCGACCAAAGGCCCCUUCGCCUUCUUCGAUGCUUCUUUGGUAAAAGCAACUGUCACCACGGCCUCGGCCUGGAGAAAGGAGAUACACGUGGGAAGCCUGCCCGAUCGUCUCUCUGCACCCUCAAAACCAUGGGCCCCACCUCGGCCCGCCCCCGGAACACGUGGUCACCCCCUCUACCUCGGCUCCGAGUGCUGCCCCUGCCGCGGGAGGCGCCACCUAGGGGGGGGCCGGCCCCCUUCCCCAUCAGCCUCAGCACAGCCACACUGUUCACUGACAGGGAGAAGUUUCUCUGAGGAGGGAGCCAGGGGUGGGAGUGAGGACCCAGGCACCCGCCGCCCCCCCCCCCACCCCGCCCAGAACCACAACCUCCACCACCUGUCUUUCCAGCUUUGGCCCCUCUCUCCAAGAUGGAGACCCAGCACCCUGCCCUGCAAGGCUCCGGCCCAGGCCCACCUGCUCCUCCUCAGUCAAAGGCUCCAGCGCCAGGGGCUGCAGUGGCUCCUCCUGCAGCACCGCAGCAAACUCCUUGUCCUGCAGCUCAUCGGGUACCUGUCAACCGGGGCAGAGCGGAGGUCCCACGUGCUCCUGGACCCCCUCCACUGGCUGAGACCAAAUGGGCAACAGGGCCACACACCCCACACUCUCGCCUAGCCCCACCUUGUUCUCCUUGACGUAGAGAGCCAGCAUCUCUUCUCGCCCGUAGCGAUAGUCAGCCAGCUUGUAUUUGGGCAUGGCAGGGGACGGGGGUGGAGAGGCCACACUGCCACCGCUGGAAAGGGCCCUCAGCCUAGAAAAGGGACACAGGAAAGGAGAGAAACAGGAAUCCGGGCAGCCCUCUUCUUCCUGGUUUCUCUGAGCCAUCCAAAGCAUGUGUGACUCACCACUCAGGCCCAAAAUUGAGGGUCUCUGCUGCCAUCGUGGAGCCAGGUGUAUCCUCAAGGUCCGAGGGGCUGAAGGGACAAGGGGGGGGACCUGGCGUUCACUCUCCAAACACCUGUGGAGACACGGGGACACUAGGCCUCGGAGACAACACAUCACACACCUAGAGAAGCGCAAGAAGAGAAGAAAUGGAAUCCCGCCUAAUGAACUCUGAAAGGACUCACCUAAGCCAGCCACGUGCCACUCACACCAUGAGUUAAGUGAACUGUCGCAACGGGGGAAGACCUGGGGGAAGGAAGGAAAACAGGGCAGCUGGAGCCCUUUCCAGCUUCAGCAAAGGGUACCUCCCUCUACCCCAGACUUACUUGGCAGCCUUGCCCCAGGAAGCAGGUAGGGCCGGGCCGGGCCGGGGCUCUCUUCAGGCAGGGGCCUGUGCUGGAAUGAACCAAGGUCUCCAAGCUACAGGACGCUGACCUGACUACAGUGGUGUCCAGGGAGGGAGCUUCACAUCAGGGAAAGAUCCUUACCGAGAGGCAAGAAAAUAAAACUGGGGUUAAACUAAUGGGCCGGGUGGGUCUCCCCACCUCUGGCCCUCCCCUGGCCCACAACAUGGGGAGAUCCACAGCUGCGGGAGGCUUCUAGUUAUCCGGCGCAGGGAACCACGGACCCUGCUCUUUCUCAUCUCUGUCCCCCCCGCUAGGCCUCAAGACCAGUUAAUUGACCCAGCAGAGCUAACAGAGGCGCUGGCAUUGUGGCAGAGCACGCCAGGUACCUCUCCAGGCCUAAGCGCCCUCGCAGGGUGGCGUGGUAUUUGGGAAGGGGCUGGUUGAGGCAUGGGGGACACUCAGAACAAAGGUAAAACACAAGCAAGCAAGGAAACCAACAAACAAAACGUCAGAGCCACAAAUACCCUAGAGACAAAAAAA
Lynx canadensis (Canada lynx) is the source of this 1995-nucleotide long non-coding RNA. RefSeq lists it as uncharacterized. The transcript is spliced from 2 exons. Lineage: Eukaryota; Metazoa; Chordata; Mammalia; Carnivora; Felidae. The record is from RefSeq and is a predicted model, not a curated record.